This 877-nucleotide long non-coding RNA is filed under the name Mytilus galloprovincialis (Mediterranean mussel). The record is from RNAcentral. Lineage: Eukaryota; Metazoa; Mollusca; Bivalvia; Mytilida; Mytilidae.
AACUAGAUUUGCCAUUGCAAGCAAUAGCGGAUGGCACCCUUUCCCCAUUGCCAGGCCAGCGGCAGCCAUUCAGAAAAUUUUUGCUGUUUCCAUGGCAACGGCGGCCAUUUUGAAAAUUCGAAACUCAAAAGUUAAGUCUACAUAAGCUAGGCAACAUUUGUUAUAAGUUUCAUUAAAUUUAAAGCAUUUGGAAGUUUUUCAUAAUUUUGCUGUUCCCAUGGUAACGGCGGCCAUUUUGAAUAUUCCAAAGUCAAACCCCCGAUGCAAUUUUUUCCCUCCAUAAUCAUAUACCAUUUAAUGUCUCUAGAAUAAAUUUUAACAUUAAUGUUCUGGAAUGUUCUGUGAAAAUUCAAAGUUUUGACCUUUUUGCAUUGUUUCCAAGGUAACAACAGAUAUUUUGGAAAUUCCAACGCCAAAUUCCACAUCUUCCAAUGUUGCUCAUCGUUACUGUGAAGUUUUAUGAAGUUUGGAGCAUUUUGAUAUUUUUGAAAUUUUUGGUGUAGUUUCCAUGGCAACAUAGUAGUUCCAAUGAGUGCCAAAAUCAUCCAACACCUGUAUAUGGCCGGCACCUACAUUGUAUCAAAAUAUAAUGUUUCUGAGUUUAAGCAUAUCAAAACAGUUCAUCAAAACAAAAAACAGGAUUUUUUCACAUUUGUUUCGUUUCCAUGGCAACGGCAGCCAUCUUGAUGGUGCCAUACCCCACUGCACUAUAGAAUGUGGUGGUCUACAUUAUGGUAUAGUUCCAUCAAUAUUGUUCAAGCCAAUUCCGAGAAAUAGAAUGGACAAAAAAGUGUGGAAGAAUAAAAAUAAUAAUAUGAAAAAAAGAAACGAACAAUAACAAUAUGUCACCCCAACUCCGUUGAGGGUGCCAUAAAAA